This 205-nucleotide ribosomal RNA is filed under the name uncultured bacterium. RNAcentral describes it as "partial 16S ribosomal RNA". It matches the Rfam family "Bacterial small subunit ribosomal RNA", at positions 1296 to 1500 of the family's 1533-position model. The record is from RNAcentral.
GAUUGUAGUCUGNAACCCGACUACAUGAAGCUGGAAUCGCUAGUAAUCGCGAAUCAGAAUGUCGCGGUGAAUACGUUCCCGGGUCUUGUACACACCGCCCGUCACACCAUGGGAGUCGGAUAUGCCCGAAGCCGGUGACCUAACCGCAAGGAAGGAGCCGUCGAAGGUGGAGCCGAUGACUGGGGUGAAGUCGUAACAAGGUAAC